Molecule: ribosomal RNA, 253 nt
Filed under: uncultured bacterium
Lineage: Bacteria
Description: partial 16S ribosomal RNA
Rfam family: Bacterial small subunit ribosomal RNA
Source: RNAcentral
UACGUAGGGGGCAAGCGUUGUCCGGAUUUAUUGGGCGUAAAGAGCGUGUAGGCGGCUUUACAGGUCCGUUGUGAAAACUCGAGGCUCAACCUCGAGACGCCGGUGGAAACCGUAAAGCUAGAGUCCGGAAGAGGAGAGUGGAAUUCCUGGUGUAGCGGUGAAAUGCGCAGAUAUCAGGAAGAACACCUAUGGCGAAGGCAGCUCUCUGGGACGGUACUGACGCUGAGACGCGAAAGCGUGGGGAGCAAACAGG